CGCGCAGGCGGUUCGGUAAGUCGGUCUUAAAAGUGCGGGGCUUAACCCCGUGAUGGGAUUGAAACUGCCGGACUGGAGUGUCGGAGAGGAAAGCAGAAUUCCUAGUGUAGCGGUGAAAUGCGUAGAUAUUAGGAGGAACACCAGUGGCGAAGGCGGCCUGCUGGACUGUUACUGACGCUGAGGCACGAAAGCGUGGGGAGCAAACA
RNAcentral lists this ribosomal RNA (206 nucleotides) under uncultured bacterium. RNAcentral's name for it is "partial 16S ribosomal RNA". It matches the Rfam family "Bacterial small subunit ribosomal RNA", at positions 568 to 774 of the family's 1533-position model. The record is from RNAcentral.